RNAcentral lists this ribosomal RNA (255 nucleotides) under uncultured bacterium. RNAcentral's name for it is "partial 16S ribosomal RNA". It matches the Rfam family "Bacterial small subunit ribosomal RNA", at positions 57 to 305 of the family's 1533-position model. The record is from RNAcentral.
GCAAGUCGAGGGGUAACAUGAGGAAGCUUGCUUUUUUGAUGACGACCGGCGAACGGGUGCGUAACACGUAUGGAACCUACCUUAUACUGGGGCAUAGCCCAGAGAAAUUUGGAUUAAUUUCCCAUAAUACCUUAGAAUGGCAUCAUUCAUAGGUUAAAGCUUCGGCGGUACAAGAUGGCCAUGCGGCCCAUUAGUUAGUUGGUGAGGUAACGGCUCACCAAGACUACGAUGGGUAGGGGUUCUGAGAGGAUUAUC